RNAcentral lists this ribosomal RNA (468 nucleotides) under uncultured bacterium. RNAcentral describes it as "partial 16S ribosomal RNA". It matches the Rfam family "Bacterial small subunit ribosomal RNA", at positions 28 to 507 of the family's 1533-position model. The record is from RNAcentral.
GACGAACGCUGGCGGCGUGCUUAACACACGCAAGUCGAACGGAAAGGCCCUGCUUUUGUGGGGUGCUCGAGUGGCGAACGGGUGAGUAACACGUGAGUAACCUGCCCUUGACUUUGGGAUAACUUCAGGAAACUGGGGCUAAUACCGGAUAGGAGCUCCUGCUGCAUGGUGGGGGUUGGAAAGUUUCGGCGGUUGGGGAUGGACUCGCGGCUUAUCAGCUUGUUGGUGGGGUAGUGGCUUACCAAGGCUUUGACGGGUAACCGGCCUGAGAGGGUGACCGGCCACAUUGGGACUGAGAUACGGCCCAGACUCCUACGGGAGGCAGCAGUGGGGAAUAUUGCACAAUGGGCGGAAGCCUGAUGCAGCAACGCCGCGUGCGGGAUGACGGCCUUCGGGUUGUAAACCGCUUUCGCCUGUGACGAAGCGUGAGUGACGGUAAUGGGUAAAGAAGCACCGGCUAACUACGUG